GGUUAGUUAGUUAAAGUUAUAAUGUGGAUUUUGUAAGUCUAAGUUGGUUAUUAUUCACUGACCU
This 64-nucleotide transfer RNA is filed under the name Echinococcus canadensis. RNAcentral describes it as "tRNA-Thr". Lineage: Eukaryota; Metazoa; Platyhelminthes; Cestoda; Cyclophyllidea; Taeniidae. The record is from RNAcentral.